Molecule: ribosomal RNA, 613 nt
Filed under: uncultured Bacteroidota bacterium
Lineage: Bacteria; Pseudomonadati; Bacteroidota
Description: bacterial SSU rRNA
Rfam family: Bacterial small subunit ribosomal RNA
Source: RNAcentral
GCUCCGGCGGGUAAAGAUGGUGAUGCGCUACAGUAGCUAGGUGGUGAGGUGAUGGCUCACCAAGGCUACGAUGUGUAGGGGGUGUGAGAGGAUGGUCCCCGCGCUUGGUACUGAGACACGGACCAAACUCAUACGGGAGGCAGCAGUAGGGAAUAUUGGUCAAUGGACGCAAGUCUGAACCAGCCAUGCCGCGUGCAGGAUGACAGCCCUAUGGGUCGUAAACUGCUUUUAUAAGGGAAGAAACCCCUGGAUGCGUCCGGGGCUGACGGUACCUUAUGAAUAAGGAUCGGCUAACUUCGUGCCAGCAGCCGCGGUAAGACGAAGGAUCCAAGCGUUGUCCGGAUUUACUGGGUUUAAAGGGUGCGUAGGCGGAGUGCUAAGUCAGUGGUGAAAGCCCGCAGCUCAACUGCGGAACUGCCAUUGAAACUGGCACUCUUGAAUACGGUGGAGGUAGAUGGAAUGUAACAUGUAGCGGUGAAAUGCUUAGAUAUGUUACAGAACACCGAUUGCGAAGGCAGUCUGCUACACCGUGAUUGACGCUGAGGCACGAAAGCGUGGGGAGCAAACAGGAUUAGAUACCCUGGUAGUCCACGCCCUAAACGUUGAUUACUCG